RNAcentral lists this ribosomal RNA (352 nucleotides) under uncultured bacterium. RNAcentral's name for it is "bacterial SSU rRNA". It matches the Rfam family "Bacterial small subunit ribosomal RNA", at positions 8 to 349 of the family's 1533-position model. The record is from RNAcentral.
AGAGUUUGAUCCUGGCUCAGGAUGAACGCUAGCUACAGGCUUAACACAUGCAAGUCGAGGGGAAACGACAUCGAAAGCUUGCUUUUGAUGGGCGUCGACCGGCGCACGGGUGAGUAACGCGUAUCCAACCUGCCCACCACUUGGGGAUAACCUUGCGAAAGUAAGACUAAUACCCAAUGACGUCUCUAGAAGACAUCUGAAAAGAGAUUAAAGAUUUAUCGGUGAUGGGAUGGGGAUGCGUCUGAUUAGCUUGUUGGCGGGGUAACGGCCACCAAGGCUACGAUCAGUAGGGGUUCUGAGAGGAAGGUCCCCACAUUGGAACUGAGACACGGUCCAAACUCCUACGGGAGCA